GAUGAACGCUAGCGGGAGGCUUAACACAUGCAAGCCGAGGGGUAUAUUAUUUUCGGAUAAUAGAGACCGGCGGACGGGUGCGUAACGCGUAUGCAAUCUACCUUUAUCACUGGGAUAGCUUUCGGAAACGGAAAUUAAUACUGGAUAACAUUACAACUGGCAUCGGUUGUAGUUAAAAGAUUUAUCGGAUAGAGAUGAGCAUGCGUCAGAUUAGUUAGUUGGUAAGGUAACGGCUUACCAAGGCGAUGAUCUGUAGGGGUUCUGAGAGGAUUAUCCCCCACACUGGUACUGAGACACGGACCAGACUCCUACGGGAGGCAGCAGUGAGGAAUAUUGGACAAUGGGUUAGCGCCUGAUCCAGCCAUCCCGCGUGCAGGAAGACGGCCUUAUGGGUUGUAAACUGCUUUUAUACAGGAAUAAAUGUAGGUACGUGUACUUAUUUGAAUGUACUGUAAGAAUAAGCACCGGCUAACUCCG
RNAcentral lists this ribosomal RNA (477 nucleotides) under uncultured Flavobacteriales bacterium. Its description in RNAcentral is "bacterial SSU rRNA". It matches the Rfam family "Bacterial small subunit ribosomal RNA", at positions 28 to 505 of the family's 1533-position model. Lineage: Bacteria; Pseudomonadati; Bacteroidota; Flavobacteriia; Flavobacteriales. The record is from RNAcentral.